Non-coding RNA from Chrysemys picta bellii (western painted turtle), 508 nucleotides. The record is from RefSeq and is a predicted model, not a curated record. Lineage: Eukaryota; Metazoa; Chordata; Testudines; Emydidae.
CAUGUACUGUAUGUGGAGCAGUGUACGGUGAAAACCGAGGCUCUGCUGAGUGCUCUUCUCUUCACUUUCACAUAGAGAAACACUGACUGGCCACUGAAACAUACACACACACAGACACACAGAGAGGUCACUAUCACAUGACAAAGGCUUCGAGACAGCUUCAUCUUCCUCUGUCUGUAAUUUCCAUUUGCCUUCCUGGGUGAUCUGCUGGAGAGGGGGCCUAAAUACUAACAACAGCACUGAAACAUCGCCAACACUGGAGUGGAAAGUGACUGUCAUCUUGCAUACAACACACAAUGUAACAAUGUGAGGAUAGGAAAUUUCGGCCAACAGAAUUGAGGGGUUUGCUCUGCUGCCAGUCACCAUAGUAUCUGAGUGCCUUCCACACAGAAUGAAGAGCAAUAGUGGAGACCCUAGCACACUAUUUUUGGGGUUUCAGUCUCUUGUGAUGUCAUAAUCCUACUAGUUCUCCAGGCUGCCGAGACACUUCACCCAGCAGCAGGUAAGA